GAGGGUAUAGCUCAAGUGGUAGAGCACAUGCUUAGCAUGCAUGAAGUCCUGGGUUCAAUCCCCUGUACUGCCA
Molecule: transfer RNA, 73 nt
Filed under: Camelus bactrianus (Bactrian camel)
Lineage: Eukaryota; Metazoa; Chordata; Mammalia; Artiodactyla; Camelidae
Also listed under: 3 other names
Rfam family: tRNA
About the family: Transfer RNA (tRNA) molecules are approximately 80 nucleotides in length. Their secondary structure includes four short double-helical elements and three loops (D, anti-codon, and T loops).
Source: Rfam by way of RNAcentral